GAAAUUCUCAGGGGGACGAGGGCCGCCACUCUUGAAGCCACCGCGGAAAGAACAAAGAGGGGAUGCCUCCCCAAUUCACUCCACAUCCAGCAGAUCCACGCUAGGUAGAGAGAGGGGCGGGCAGAGGGAUAGUGUGGAAGGCUCCCCAGGCUGAGGUAGAGGUGGUGCCUGGAGGCGCAUGACGCUUCCUUGAUGCCCUCCACAGGUCAGCAGGAAGGACAUGCCACUGGUUCGACCACAACUGGAAGAAGAUAGAGGAGCAUGUCCGCACAAAGACUACGGUACAGGUGCGGAAUCUAGGUGUCGCCGCCGGGGCUGCCGCACCCAAGUCAUGCUCAGAAGUACCUCAAUGUUUGUAUGACACAAACACCGGUAAGAGUAACACAGGUACAACAUUCAAAAUCUACUAACUUGUCUAGCAAAAAAAAUACAUUUAAGUUGCCUCCGCAAAUGCGAGAGCUGAUCAUAACUUUAUGGGUACAUCUUAUUUGGUUACUUUUUGUGUUAUUUUUUAAGAAUUUUAUGUAUGUAAGUGUGCCAGACUUGCUGAUGCAUGUGCUUUCAGUUUUAUAGUGGAAGAAAAUAAUUGUUUGAUCGAAGCUAUCUUACGAAGCUUCUGCCUACCCUAUAAAAUGAGUAGUUGCAAUAAAAUGCCACUUGUGGGAGGAAAGAUACGAGAAAUAAUGAUAGGUUUUAGAGCAAAUGGUUGUAUGCAUUGGAGAAAUUUUUAUAAUGUAAUUUUGUAUACCUAUGCUACUCAUAUAAUAUUUUUUUAUUAAGAAUAUCUACCAAUGUAUAAAAAAACAGAGGCACUAUACUUUAUUCUUCUGUUUGCAUUUGUUGGGAUCAGAAAAGUUGUUCUUGUUAUAGACACACUUACACAAUGAAACUGCUGCUAAUUGUGUUAUGCAAAGAUGGCCAACAUGGUGGAAGAUCCCACAUGAUGGGUUGAAAUGGGUAAAACGGACAGAAAGAACACAUGUUGGUCUUUGA
This is a long non-coding RNA of Lolium perenne, 993 nucleotides long. RefSeq lists it as uncharacterized. The record is from RefSeq and is a predicted model, not a curated record. Lineage: Eukaryota; Viridiplantae; Streptophyta; Magnoliopsida; Poales; Poaceae.